This 253-nucleotide ribosomal RNA is filed under the name uncultured bacterium. RNAcentral's name for it is "partial 16S ribosomal RNA". It matches the Rfam family "Bacterial small subunit ribosomal RNA", at positions 524 to 776 of the family's 1533-position model. The record is from RNAcentral.
GACAGAGGGUGCAAACGUUGCUCGGAAUUACUGGGCUUAAAGCGCGUGUAGGCGGGUCGGAAAGUCGGGCGUGAAAUCCCCAGGCUCAACCUGGGAACUGCACUCGAAACUUCCGAUCUAGAGUGGUGGAGAGGGAAGUGGAAUUCCUGGUGUAGAGGUGAAAUUCGUAGAUAUCAGGAGGAACACCAGUGGCGAAGGCGGCUUCCUGGACACCAACUGACGCUGAGACGCGAAAGCGUGGGGAGCAAACAGG